Molecule: ribosomal RNA, 401 nt
Filed under: uncultured bacterium
Lineage: Bacteria
Description: bacterial SSU rRNA
Rfam family: Bacterial small subunit ribosomal RNA
Source: RNAcentral
GACGAACGCUGGCGGCGUGCCUAACACAUGCAAGUCGAACGAGAAUCGACGGAUUGAGACUUCGGUUGAUUGAAGUUGAGGAAAGUGGCGAACGGGUGAGUAACGCGUGAGAAACCUGCCUUUCAGUGGGGGACAACAGUUGGAAACGACUGCUAAUACCGCAUAAUGUGCCGGGAGGGCAUCCUCCUGGUACCAAAGCUUUAUGUGCUGAAAGAUGGGUCCUCGCGUCUGAUUAGCUAGUUGGUGAGGUAACGGCUCACCAAGGCGACGAUCAGUAGCCGGUCUGAGAGGAUGAACGGCCACAUUGGGACUGAGAUACGGCCCAGACUCCUACGGGAGGCAGCAGUGGGGAAUAUUGGGCAAUGGGGGAAACCCUGACCCAGCAACGCCGCGUGAAGGAA